Molecule: unclassified non-coding RNA, 423 nt
Filed under: soil metagenome
Description: partial contains 5.8S ribosomal RNA, internal transcribed spacer 2, and large subunit ribosomal RNA
Rfam family: 5.8S ribosomal RNA (bases 1-120)
Source: RNAcentral
GAUGAAGAACGCAGCGAAAUGCGAUAAGUAAUGUGAAUUGCAGAUUUCAGUGAAUCAUCGAAUCUUUGAACGCACCUUGCGCCUUGUGGUAUUCCACAAGGCAUGCCCGUUUGAGUAUCAUUAAAUCAUCAACUCUAAAACCUUUGUGGUUUUUUUAGAGCUUGGUCUUGAGGGUUUUGCAGGCUUUUUUUUUUUUCGAGUCUGCUCCCUUUAAAUGCAUUAGCGAGACUUCCCUAUGCUGAACCGUCUCUUUGACGUGAUAAUUAUCUGCGUCGAAUUUUGGUUCUCGUUGGGCUUGCUUCUAAUCGUCUGUUAAAGACAAAACGGAUUUGGGUGCAUAUAUGCGCCUUUUUCCAAAACCUUUUUUGAUCUCAAAUCGUGUAGGACUACCCGCUGAACUUAAGCAUAUCAAUAAGCGGAGGA